CGUGGUUCUUCCCGUUUCACAGGUGAGGGACCUAGAGCUACACGGCUCGCCUUAGGUCCCAGGUAGGAAGUGGCAAGCAGCUUUGAAGCCAGGUAGUCUGGCUCCAAGAACAAACUCACAUCCACUGAAAAUAUUGAAAAUAGCCUAGAGAAGGUAAGCUCCAAGUAAAAGGAAAAUCUGCAUUGUCAAAGCAGGCCAAGCAUGGAAGAACGCUCAUUUAUUUUCCCAAAAGAUUAUUUUCUGUGGUCUUCCCUUCAUAAACACACAUCCCACUCUCAGAUGCAAAUCCUAGAGCUAGAAAUGGGGCAUUCAAGGUAGACAGAGCUCCUGGGAACAGCACGUUUGCAGAGAUGGGAAGGGAACCUCCCACUGGUUUUGGUUUCUCCAUGGCUACAGGCAAAGCCUGCCUGCUCUGCAUCCGGGGAUCUUGGUCAGGUGUUGGAAUCGGUGGGUGGAUUGCCAGUACAUUUGCACCGUGUCCUAGAGAGCCUCUAUGCAUUUCAACUCUGAUUCUCCUUCACCAUCUACGCGCAGCCCACAACCGCAGGACCCCACCCCUGGCUCUGAAUCUCCCAUGUCCUGGCGCCAAGCAGGUGAGUCAGCCUAGGAGGAGGAAGGGCUUCCGGAAGCCAAGCCCAUGCUGGGGUGGUGAGAAACAACUUUCCUAUGCAAGGAGGUGCCUGAGCACCCCCUGAUGAUCAAGCUGGAGCCCCCUCACCUCCCCGAAGUGUGCUGGAGGAAAGGCCAGAAAGAGGCAGCAGUCUUCACCCACUGAGGCUGAGUUUCUCACUCAUGCCAAGUUUUACAUAAGCUGGGGACCAUGUGCUUCAAGGCUAGAGGUCUUGGUGGGCCCAGGGCCUUGGAGGGGCCUGGAUGACCAAGGGGUCCGUGGCUUAGGCCCUGGCUCUGCAUGGGGAAUCUUGGGAAGGUUGGAAGCCCACAGCCCCUACUGAGAAAGGAGCCACGGGCCAGAUCUUUUGCACAAAUCCUGCCUGUGCUCCUUGACUGUCUCUCCCCACCGGGGUCACGGUGACCAAGCAGGCAGGAGACUCCAUCCGUUCACAGGACUAGCAUCCUGGGAGGGCCCUGGCCUGAGCGAGCUGCUGCAGGGGACCCUCAUGCUGGAUGGUUGGCCACUCAGCACCCUUUUCUCUGUGGAGCAGGGAUGACAUUUGAGAGCCACCAAAGAUGGGCAGGAAAAACAAAGGCCACCACAGAGGAAGCUGAAGGCAGAAAGAGAUGCAGAGAAAGUGGGAGAAACUCGGCUGUGCUUUGUGGGGGCCCUGCAGGGACAUCAGCUCCUGAAGGGGUGAAAGAAAGGGUCCCCUGAACUUUGACACUGUUCUUCUCGAGGCCUGGCCAGCCCUGUGGCUCCUUAGAGGAAUCUGGGUGCCUGCUGUCCCUAGUACCUGACAAGCCCCAGGUGAGAAGACCUGAGUUCACCUGCGCUGCCACGUGUAACCUGAUGGCCCCGGCACCCUCGCAGGGUUUGAAUAGCUGCCCUUUCCACCUGUUUCCCGGAUUUUCCACACCACCCAGAGGCUCAUAUUCAACCCCACAGCCUACAAGUCAGCCAGGGGCCUUUGGCCACAUGUACUGAUGAUGAGAAUCACUGGAUUGUAAGCUGUAAAAGCACAAGGAUGGUGUUUUGUUCCCCGCUACCCCCUGCACCUGAGGCCCAGCGAGGAUUGCUGCUCGGAUGAAGGAGAGCGAGUGUUCGUGGAGCUCUUUGCAGAAGCCACGGGAAGCCCUUCCUGUGCCUUCUCAGGUUUAGUCUCAGACAGCCCCACUUUCCAGAUGAGGAAACAGAGGCUAAGAAAGGAGAAUAAACUUGUCCAGAAUCAGUGGUGAAGCUGGGAUUUGAACCCCAUCCUGUUGGACUCAACACUUCCUCUGAAAAGACAGGAUAAGGGAGCUGCCUACUUCUGGCUUUGGGAACCGGCAGAGAGGAGCAGAGUUGGGCCAGACGCGUCACCUCCCAAGCUCUGCGGCACCCAAGGGUUCCCAGGGUCCUCUUCCUCCAUUUGGCUCUUUUCUUCUCUGGACUCUCCCACCUUCGAGGAUUGGACUCCUUGCAGGGAGAGCAAAGCAGAGAACAGAGGAGGCCCAUCUGAGGAGAGAGUGCUGGAGCAGAUGGAGCACAGAGAGAGCCCCCAAACCUUAGCCUCACCUGGAGAGUGGCUCCCUGCAAGCUGAGCCCCUGUGUGCCCAGAAGUGACAUAGGCAUUCAGGAAAGGGACUGAGGGAGGAAAGAAGGAGCCAUUCCUCUUCCCAGGGGCGCCUGCCCUGGGUUCCUGAGGGACGCUCCAUGUUUACAUCUCCAAAGCCCAGUCCCAAACACGCCAGAGUGCAAUGCCCUCCCUCAGACCCAGGGCCAUCCUCAGAGCAGCCGGGAGGCAGCCUGUCCACCCUUACCACAGGCAGGUCGCCCAGGCAGCCUCCUCUUAGAGCUCCUGAAUUCUGGAGCAUGAAAUAGAAAUGUGAAAAACAGGCUGGCGUGGUGGCUCACACCUGUAAUCCCAGCACUUUGGGAGGCUGAGGUGGGCAGAUCAUUUGAGAUCAGGAGUUUGAGACCAACCUGGCCAACACAGUGAGACCCUGUCUCUACUAAAAUACAAGUAAAUAAGCCAGGCAUGGUGGUCCACACCUGCAGUCCCAGUUACCUGGGAGGCUGAGGCAGGAGAAUCAUUUGCAUCCAGGAGAUGGAAGUUGCUGUGAGCUGAGAUCGCACCGCUGCACUCCAGCCUGGGCAACAGAGUGAGACUCUGUCAAAAAAAAAAAAAAGAAUGAGAGAGAAAAUAAAUACUACAAAAUGUUAACAAUGGGUGAAUGUAGGUGAAGAGUAUGUGGCAGGGUGUUUUUUAUUCUCGCAAAUUUUGUGUAGGUUUGAAGUUACCACAGAAUAGCAAAUAUAAGAAUGAUUCCUGCAGACACACGAGUGAUUUCAACUGUUCACAGGGCUCAGGCAGGAAGCAGAUCUCUUGCCCUCCCUCUGAUCCAGGUCACUUAGUCCAGUCCCUGAAAGCAGUGGAUGGACAACCAUGCCACCCUCUUUCUUCCAAUACACCUUAUUUUGUAUCCUGCCCUUUUUGUGUAGCAUUAGAUCAUGAGCAUUUUCCUCUGCUAUAAAUGUCCCCUCAAAUAUGUUGUUUCUUGUGACUCCCUAGUGUUCUACCCACGAUUUCCUCGGCUGCUCCACCUUGGUGGAAUUCAGUGAUUCUUCUGCCUUUUCACCAUUGUAAGUGAUGCUUUGAUGAAAAGCUUUGUAGGUUUAUCUGUGCUGCACCUCUGACCAGUCUUUUCUGGAAGACUCUAAGGAAGGAGACAGGGGCAUGGACCACUGGCUUUUGAAGGCAUUCGGUGGGUCCUGCCAUGCCGCCUUCCCACAUUCCAGAAGGGUGGUCCCAGUGAACAACCCACCAGCACGGGGCCCCGCUCCAUGGUGCCCCAGCAAGGCCAGCGUCCCUAUACAGGAAAAUUAAACCAUUUGCCAAUUCAAGGCACUCCAGAUGGAUCUCUCUGUUUUCUUUGAUGACUGAUGUGUCCUUUUUUGUUUCCUUCAGAGCACUAAGACUGUGCAUUUUCCCA
This 3588-nucleotide long non-coding RNA is filed under the name Homo sapiens (human). Its description in RNAcentral is "HSALNT0237948". The record is from RNAcentral. Lineage: Eukaryota; Metazoa; Chordata; Mammalia; Primates; Hominidae.